RNAcentral lists this ribosomal RNA (260 nucleotides) under uncultured prokaryote. RNAcentral's name for it is "partial 16S ribosomal RNA". It matches the Rfam family "Bacterial small subunit ribosomal RNA", at positions 917 to 1178 of the family's 1533-position model. The record is from RNAcentral.
GGGCCCGCACAAGCAGUGGAGUAUGUGGUUUAAUUCGAAGCAACGCGAAGAACCUUACCAGGGCUUGACAUCCUCGGACGACACUAGAGAUAGUGUUUUCUCUUCGGAGACUGAGAGACAGGUGGUGCAUGGUUGUCGUCAGCUCGUGUCGUGAGAUGUUCGGUUAAGUCCGGCAACGAGCGCAACCCUUAUUGUUAGUUGCCAUCAUUUAGUUGGGCACUCUAGCGAGACUGCCGUUGACAAAACGGAGGAAGGUGGGG